CUGCUGCGGGCACACAAGAUGCACAUGGGCGUCGAUGCCGCCCGCGGUGAGAAUGAGAUGCUCGCCGGAAAUGGCGUCCGUGGAGUUGCCCACCACAAGAUGCGGAUCCACGUUGUCCAUGACGGCGGGGUUGCCGGCCUUGCCUAUGCCGACGAUGCGGCCGUCGCGUAUGCCCACGUCGGCCUUGAUGACGCCCUGCACGGCGUCGAUGAUGGUGGCGUUGGUGAUGACGAGGUCGAGCACGCC
This 246-nucleotide small RNA is filed under the name uncultured Mailhella sp. RNAcentral's name for it is "5' ureB small RNA". It matches the Rfam family "5' ureB small RNA", at positions 11 to 250 of the family's 292-position model. Lineage: Bacteria; Pseudomonadati; Thermodesulfobacteriota; Desulfovibrionia; Desulfovibrionales; Desulfovibrionaceae. The record is from RNAcentral.